CCACCCCUGUGGUCUCUAGGAAGGGACAGUGUCCCCUGCCAAGGCCAGGGCUGGCAGGUGUGUGGCUGUUUCCCGAUGUCUGCAAGAGGCCUGGUGCUCUGCUGGGCCCCAUCAGUGGCUGGAAGCAAGAGCCCCAGCUGCCCCCAAGGCUGUGCAGUUCUCCUGCUGCAGCCUGUCCCCACAGCUGUGUCCCUGGCUGUGCCCACAGCUGUGUCCCUGCCUGUGGCCAGGCUCUUGGCUCUCUGGCUGCCAGCUGAGUGAGGCCCACCCUGGCUCAGGGCUCCCUGCUCUGCUCCCUGGCCAUGGGCUGAGCAGAUUGCAGGGCCGGCUCUGCUUCUGGCAGCCAGCAGCUCUUUCCUGCUCCAGGUGAACGGUUCAGGCGCCAUCCCGUGGGCACGGCGGUGCUGAUUCUGCUGCUCCUGGUGCUGGUGCUGGCUUUGGGGGCGGCCUUGGCUGUGCAGUCAGCAGCACCACAGGUUCCAGUUACACCUGCACCAUCACAGUGUAUUCUGGGCUGUCCCUUUGACUGGAUUGGGUACAAGGGGGUCUGCUACUACUUCUCACGGGAUUACAGCACCUGGGAUCAGGGUCAGGAACGGUGCUCCGAGCUCGGGGCCUCCCUGGCCAUUGCCAAGGAUGAGGAGGCCAUGGAUUUGCUCUUCCGCCU
Camarhynchus parvulus is the source of this 667-nucleotide long non-coding RNA. RefSeq lists it as uncharacterized. Lineage: Eukaryota; Metazoa; Chordata; Aves; Passeriformes; Thraupidae. The record is from RefSeq and is a predicted model, not a curated record. The transcript is spliced from 3 exons.